RNAcentral lists this ribosomal RNA (208 nucleotides) under uncultured bacterium. Its description in RNAcentral is "partial 16S ribosomal RNA". It matches the Rfam family "Bacterial small subunit ribosomal RNA", at positions 1293 to 1500 of the family's 1533-position model. The record is from RNAcentral.
CCGGAUUGCAGGCUGCAACUCGCCUGCAUGAAGUUGGAAUUGCUAGUAAUCNCGGAUCAGCAUGCCGCGGUGAAUACGUUCCCGGGCCUUGUACACACCGCCCGUCACACCAUGGGAGCCGGUAAUACCCGAAGUCAGUAGCCUAACCGCAAGGGGGGCGCUGCCGAAGGUAGGAUUGGCGACUGGGGUGAAGUCGUAACAAGGUAGC